This is a long non-coding RNA of Anopheles stephensi (Asian malaria mosquito), 209 nucleotides long. RefSeq lists it as uncharacterized. The record is from RefSeq and is a predicted model, not a curated record. NCBI's taxonomy places the organism in Eukaryota, Metazoa, Arthropoda, Insecta, Diptera, Culicidae. The transcript is spliced from 2 exons.
CGAACCAAGCAGGGUGGUGGUUCGGUUUUUCCUUCCACCCUUUGUGCUUUUGCAGACAGUGGUCAACACACACACACAUACACACAGCUCUACGCAGCCACACAACAACGCCCCCAAACGCAAAGGUGACCGAUCGCACAACGCAACAGUCCGUUCGGAGUUCCCAAAAACCACUGUGCUGGGUUGAAAGGUUUGUUGUUUUUUUUUUU